GUAAAAAGCACUAUAGAUGGGAGUCCUUUUAUACCUUGAAAAGGCACUGGGCAGCACAGCACAUGCUUUCUCAACACGCUUAUUACUGUGAUUCAACCCUAAUUUAGAGGGUCAUCUAUGAAUGAGAGAGUAAUUCAGUCUCCAUGCUCAUUCAGUCCUUGGGUCCU
RNAcentral lists this small RNA (167 nucleotides) under Crocodylus porosus (Australian saltwater crocodile). RNAcentral describes it as "TUC338 (ENSCPRG00005002082.1)". The record is from RNAcentral. Lineage: Eukaryota; Metazoa; Chordata; Crocodylia; Crocodylidae.